Molecule: unclassified non-coding RNA, 497 nt
Filed under: uncultured Glomus
Lineage: Eukaryota; Fungi; Glomeromycota; Glomeromycetes; Glomerales; Glomeraceae
Description: bacterial SSU rRNA
Rfam family: Eukaryotic small subunit ribosomal RNA
Source: RNAcentral
CCAAUAGCGUAUAUUAAAGUUGUUGCAGUUAAAAAGCUCGUAGUUGAAUUUCGGGACCAAUCUGCCGGUCGUGCCUCUGGUACGCACUGGUUUUAUUGGUUUCUCCCUUCUGACGAACCAUGAUGUCAUUAAUUUGGUGUCAUGGGGAAUCAGGACUGUUACUUUGAAAAAAUUAGAGUGUUUAUAGCAGGCUCACGCUUGAAUACAUUAGCAUGGAAUAAUGAAAUAGGACGUUUGACCCUAUUUUGUUGGUUUAUAGGAUCGACGUAAUGAUUAAUAGGGAUAGUUGGGGGCAUUAGUAUUCAAUUGUCAGAGGUGAAAUUCUUGGAUUUAUUGAAGACUAACUACUGCGAAAGCAUUUGCCAAGAAUGUUUUCAUUAAUCAAGAACGAAAGUUAGAGGUUCGAAGGCGAUCAGAUACCGCCCUAGUUCUAACCAUAAACGAUGCCGACCGGCGAUCCGCUGUCGUUACUUGAAUGACUCAGCGGGCAGCCUCCG